Molecule: non-coding RNA, 69 nt
Organism: Podarcis lilfordi (Lilford's wall lizard)
Lineage: Eukaryota; Metazoa; Chordata; Lepidosauria; Squamata; Lacertidae
Source: the annotation of a GenBank genome assembly
GGAUGGCUCAGUUGGAAGAGCACGAGACUCUUAAGCUCAGGGUUGUGGGUUCAAGCCCCACGUUGGGCA